Molecule: long non-coding RNA, 571 nt
Organism: Mus pahari (shrew mouse)
Lineage: Eukaryota; Metazoa; Chordata; Mammalia; Rodentia; Muridae
Exons: 3
Source: RefSeq, a predicted model, not a curated record
UGAGUCAGAAACCAAGAGUGAUGUUUAGCAGUGAGCCCUCCAGCCGACUAUCAUGCUCACCCAAACUGAGAGGCACACACCUACUCUACGCUCAUUCUUCACGUUUCCUAGAGCAUACUCCACUCGUCUCUACUAGUGGAUUGUUUCUGAACAUUGUCUGCACUGGGCUGCAGAUGCUCAUUACUUAAGUUCAAGGUUCUUACUGAUGUCACUGGAAAAUUUGUCUCUGCUCUGAGAAAUCACAGGGAUUAGUCUUUGUGACUGGUGAGGUGACCACACUAACACCUGGUGUUGAUAAGAUGGCAUAAAAACAGCCAGCUCUGGGAAGUCGUGCUAGAGAGAUGGCUCAGAAGUGAACAGCCCAUGCUGCUCUUCCGGAAGACCUGAGCUGGGUUACCAGCACCUAUGUUCUCCAGAUCACAGUCUUCACUAACUCCAGCUCCACGGGAUCUAACCCCCUCUUCCGGCCUCCAUGGUACUUUUACUCAUGUGCAUGACAUCCUCCCACACAUACUUAAUGAAAAAUAAGAAUUAAAUCUUUAAUAAUAAUAAAAAAAAGAGUCCCGGAAGA